Molecule: RNA transcript, 3477 nt
Organism: Dromaius novaehollandiae (emu)
Lineage: Eukaryota; Metazoa; Chordata; Aves; Casuariiformes; Dromaiidae
Gene: IFT74
Gene name: intraflagellar transport 74
Exons: 21
Source: RefSeq, a predicted model, not a curated record
CGCAUUCUCCACCCUGCCCUUGCAAUCGGCGGCUGAAACGAGCUUUCUAAAUCUCGCGACAUCAGGGUGCCGCGGUGGUUGGUCCCACGGUUGCUGCGAUACCGGCGUCGUUGUUGGCGGAGGCUUAACGGGCACUUGGGACUCCGGAGCAAGUUCAGAAGGAAACAGAUAUGGCCAGCAACCACAGGCCUCCAACAGCACGUCCUUCUUCAAGAGGAGGAAUGGGGGUGACAGCAAGGCCUGCCUCUUCUUUAAGGACUCCGUCAGCAACCAGAAUAGGAACAGGGAUGCCUCCUAGUACAUCAAGACCUGGUUCUCGUGGUGGUUCUUCAAGCACUGGAGGAGUGCUGUCAUCUCAGAUUAAAGUUGCAGACCGUCCAGUGACGCAACAGGGAUUAAGUGGAAUGAAAUUGGGAAUGAAAGGUCCUCAGAGACAGAUAAUGGAUAAAACCUAUUAUCUUGGACUGCUGAGAAGCAAAAUAAAUGACCUCACAGCAGAAAUUAACAAGCUGCAAAAAGAAGUGGAAAUGUACAAGCAAGAGAAUUCUGUCUAUCUGUCCUACGAGAAAAGGGCAGAGGCUUUAGCUGGUGAAAUCAAAGAAUUUCAAGGUCAGCUAGCAGACUACAACAUGCUCGUGGAUAAACUUAACACCAAUACUGAUACGGCAGAAAUGAUUAGUGAUUUCAAUAUGUUGAAGGUUCAGAAUGACCGGGAAGCUCAGAGUGUGGAUAUAAUUUUCACAGAAAAACAAGCCAAAGAAAAAUUAAUUCAAGCUGUGGAAGAAGAUAUUGAACAUCAAAAAAAAGUAGCAGAUGACAUAAUAAAAGACAUGUCUCAGGAAAAUCAGGCUAAAUAUAUGGAGAUGAAGACUGCAAAUGAAAAGCUUUGCCAGGAACUGGUUGUUCAACAGCAGGAACUGGAUGCACUGAAUGUAAAGGAGGAGUCUCUAAGAGCUGAAAUAGCACACUCCCAGGUAAAACAGGAGGCUGUGAAGUUGUAUGAAAAGCUCCAUGAGCUUGAGGAACAUCGAAAUCAAAUGAUUACUGAGGACAAGAACAUGGGUUCUCCACAGGAGGAAAGAGAGAGAUUACUAAAGCAGGUUAAAGAAGAUAAUCAAGAAAUAGCAAGCAUGGAAAGACAGCUAACAGAAGUAAAGGAAAAGACAAACCAUUUUAGAAAAGUCAUUCAACGCCUUGAUAUGGAUCUGGAGGAUCAUCAAGGAGAGGAAAAUUGGAAAUACAAGGAACUGAAGAAGAGAGAAGAAAGCAUGGACAAUUUUCUUGAGACUUUUGAAGAGGUGAAGAACCAGGAAUUAGAACGUAAGGCCCAAACAGAAACCAACAUUAUUGCACUCUUGGAGCACUCAAGUAGGAAUGUGAAUCGUAUGAAACAAAUUUCAUCUGUUACCAAUCAAGAGCUGAAGAUUAUGCAGGAAGAUCUCACUUUCAAAUCAACUGAAAUGCAGAAAUCACAGAGCACUGCUAAGAAUCUGAGUACAGAGAGUCAAAGACUGCAGAUGGAUCUGCAGAAGAUGGAACUCUUAGAGGGCAAGAUGGUUGAUGAACUGGCUUCUCUUAAAGACAAAAUUGAACAAACCGAAAAGGACUUGGAGAUCUAUAACAAUCUGCCAGCUCUGAAAGCAGCAGGAGAAGAGAAGAAAAAGAAACUCCAAGAUGACAAAGAAAAAUUGACAAAACGUACCUGUGCUUUCAAGAAAAUAAUGGAACACUUGAAUACAGAGUAUGAGACUCUAAAAAGACAGCUGCAGGACAAUGAGACUCAUUCUCAGCUUACAAAUUUGGAGAGGAAGUGGCAGCACCAUGAGCAAAAUAACUUUAUGAUGAAGGAAUUCAUAGCAACAAAAAGUCAGGAGAGUGACUACCAGCCAAUAAUGAAGAAUGUGAGAAAGCUGAUCACAGAAUAUAACAAAGCUCUCAUAGACUCUUUACAGAACACCAAGAACUGAGCCCAGGAGCUUCCUUCUUGUUCAGUGGACCAAUAACGAGAGAUGUGCACAAGUAGCAUGGAAAGCUGAGCUACCAAGCUUAUUCACGCUCCAGUAAUGCAACAGGUUUCAAGCUGCAGUGUCAUAUGGACCUGUACUUUGAGAAAAGUGCAUGGAAUAGAUCAUUCAAUGUAGAACAAAAACAGGACUGAUACAGAAGUAUCAGUGUCCUUUAUCAUAAAGAAAUGUCAAAUAACACUGAAAUAAAACAAAACUUCCUUGUAUAUUUAUUUCUGUCACAUUCUACCAGUAAUUAUAAACUCUGUGUUGAUAUUUCCUUAACCUUAUAUAUUGUAAGCUAGUCCUGGUCAGUGAGAAAAAAAGUAUAGCAGACUAUAGCUGGGAAUCCUAGCCAGACAGUAAUCUAGUCUUUUAUAUGUGUUUAAAAAAAAAGAAAAAAAAAGAAAAAAAAAGACAUGAAACGAGCAGUAGAGAGUGGAUUUGUAGUUGCUCUACUACCUUGAAAAAGUCUUUCCAAAAAAGCAGACUACUGGUUUCACUGUAUAAAAUUUGAGUAGACAGAGGAUUUGAAAAUAUGCAUUGUUUGUUAAAAUAUAAAUUACGUAUUUUUAUCUCUGUUUCUCCAGAUCCGUGGUUGUCAUUUUGAAUAUGUAGGAAAAAUGUGUACAACAGUAUAUUGCAGAUUCUUGCAGGGAGCACUGUUUCCAAAUUCAGUUCAGUAAGUGCUAUUGCUCUCUAUAUUUAUGUGUAUAUAACAUUUAGAGGUGAUGGAACAGGAUUUCUAUAAACCCAAGUCUGUUGUCUAGGGAAAAUUCCCACUAAUGUCUCUUCCUUCUUCUCAGAGUUUUAGCUAUUCCAGAGAGAGCCCAUUAUUUGCUGAAAUGAAGCUGAAGUCUAAUAUUCUCACCACUUGGACCAUUCAUUAACCAGUGAGAUUGUCUCCUGAAUACAACUCAUGCUACAGUAACAUGUUUUAAUGAACAAUGGAAAGAAACUGCAAACUCAAUAAAGAGUGCUUUACUUUACUUUCCUACUCACUCAGGGCAAGGGAUGGCUUUGUUCCUUGGCACUGAUUCUGUGAGAUAGCAUAGAAAAGAUUUGUUGUGUUCUCCAGGAGAUGUGUGUAAUAAAAACACUCUCUCCAGCACUCUACUCUUAUUCCUGUUAUAUUGAUGGUCUCCAGAUUACCUGUUUUUGCCUGAGAACCUCUUCAGCCACUCCUUGUUUUAACAGUUCAUCCUCAUCAUCCUGGAUCAUGGUCCCAUUAUUCUUGGCUGAAAAGAACCUCAUGGAAUCUAAAUGGUGAGCUGCAAAGCUGGUAUUUAAUCUUCUUCUAGGAGAUUUGUGUACUUACUAACAUGCGACUCUCAGUUGUGAGCUGAGUAAUUUGUGUCCAUAUCUAGCUCCUGAAGUCUGAGAUCUAAUACCCUUUCUUUAACCUUCUUUAUAAUUUUUCUAGCCAAGUUUAAGUAUUGAACACAUGCGUGGAAUAAACAUUUGUUUUACUGAA